AAAAACUCCUACACACAAUCACACGAAAACCGAGAUGGGCGGCACACAAAGUGCCAUUAUUGAACGAGGUGGAGAAAUGACCCUACUAGAAAAAGAGGGGGGGCUGGAGCCAGCCGCCCCGCAAAACCAGCUCUUCGGUGGUCGGGAUAAUUAUUGAAAUUAAGGGGUCCGUACCCGGUUUUGAAGUUCCUGGUCUUGCGGGUAGCUUAACUAUCUAUAUGCUAGGAAUACUGCUAUACUAUAAGGGCGGGAGAGGUCUGAGGUACUACAGGUCCAGGGGUGAAAUCUUAUAAUCCUUGUCGGACCCCCAACGCCUAAGGCGUCAGACUGGAACCCGCCCGACGCCGAGGGAGAAAAGCCAAGGAAGCGAACCGAAUCAGAUACCCGGGCCGCCUGGGUUCUAAACGAUGCAAACUAGGGUAUGGCGCGCCCUUGACCCCGGUCCGUGCCGGGGGCAAACCGUUAACGUGACCCCUUCGGAAGUGCGGCCCAGGGCUAAGACUUAAAGUAAUUGGGGGGGGAAAGGGAAAAUUCUAUUAAACUUGCAGGACUAGGCCCUUUACUGUGGGUGAGUUCUGAUCUUGGGCUAGUCGUGGUCAUGGCUGUUUCUGAAGCC
Molecule: ribosomal RNA, 616 nt
Filed under: uncultured archaeon
Lineage: Archaea
Description: bacterial SSU rRNA
Rfam family: Archaeal small subunit ribosomal RNA
Source: RNAcentral